AGAGUUUGAUCCUGGCUCAGGACGAACGCUGGCGGUGUGCUUAAUACAUGCAAGUCGAACGAUAAGGUCUCUUCGGAGAUACAUAAGUGGCGGACGGGUGAGUAAUACGUAGGUAAUCUACCUUAAGGAGGGGGAUAACGUUGGGAAACUGACGCUAAUACCCCAUAUGUGCCAAGUUGAAAUACUUGUCAUAAAAGUUCCGGCGCCUUAAGAUGAGCCUGCGGCUGAUUAGCUUGUUGGUGGGGUAAAGGCCUACCAAGGCUACGAUCAGUAGCUGGUCUGAGAGGAUGAUCAGCCACAAUGGGACUGAGACACGGCCCAUACUCCUACGGGAGGCAGCAGUAGGGAAUUUUGCGCAAUGGGCGAAAGCCUGACGCAGCAACACCGCGUGAGGGAUGAAGCUUUUUGGAGUGUAAACCUCUGUCAGUGGGGAAGAAACCUGACUGUACCCACAGAGGAAGCAUCGGCUAACUACGUGCCAGCAGCCGCGGUAAGACGUAGGAUGCAAGCGUUGUCCGGAUUUAUUGGGCGUAAAGAGUUCGUAGGUGGUCUAUCAAGUCUGGUGUUAAAGCCCGGAGCUCAACUCCGGAUCGGCCCUGGAUACUGGUAGGCUAGAGUGCAGAAGAGGCAAGGGGAAUUCCCAGUGUAGCGGUGAAAUGCGUAGAUAUUGGGAGGAACACCGGUGGCGAAAGCGCCUUGCUGGGCUGUUACUGACGCUGAGGAACGAAAGCCAGGGGAGCGAAUGGGAUUAGAUACCCCAGUAGUCCUGGCCGUAAACGAUGGAUACUAGGUGUCAUGGGUAUCGACCCCCGUGGUGCCGUAGCUAACGCGAUAAGUAUCCCGCCUGGGGAGUACGCACGCAAGUGUGAAACUCAAAUGAAUUUGACGGAAUCUGAAUCGU
Molecule: ribosomal RNA, 901 nt
Filed under: uncultured bacterium
Lineage: Bacteria
Description: bacterial SSU rRNA
Rfam family: Bacterial small subunit ribosomal RNA
Source: RNAcentral